Molecule: small RNA, 592 nt
Filed under: Pongo abelii (Sumatran orangutan)
Lineage: Eukaryota; Metazoa; Chordata; Mammalia; Primates; Hominidae
Description: processed transcript
Source: RNAcentral
GUCCGUGUCGUCAAUGGGCAGACUGCAACCAUAGCCAAAACGUUCCCCAUGGCCCAGCUCACCAGCAUUGUGAUAGCUACUCCAGGGACCAGACUCGCUGGACCUCAAACUGUACAGCUUAGCAAGCCAAGUCUUGAAAAACAGACAGUUAAAUCUCACACAGAAACAGAUGAGAAACAAACAGAGAGCCGCACCAUCACCCCACCUGCUGCACCCAAACCAAAACGGGAGGAGAACCCUCAGAAACUUGCCUUCAUGGUGUCUCUAGGGUUGGUAACACAUGACCAUCUAGAAGAAAUCCAAAGCAAGAGGCAAGAGCGAAAAAGAAGAACAACAGCAAAUCCGGUCUACAGCGGAGCAGUCUUUGAGCCAGAGCGUAAGAAGAGUGCAGUCACAUACCUAAACAGCACAAUGCACCCUGGGACUCGGAAGAGAGGGUGAUAUUCAUGAGGAUUUUUGCAGCGUUUGCAGAAAAAGUGGCCAGUUACUGAUGUGCGACACGUGUUCCCGUGUAUAUCAUUUGGACUGCUUAGACCCCCCUCUGAAAACAAUUCCCAAGGGCAUGUGGAUCUGUCCCAGAUGUCAGGACCAG